CUUGGUGGCACUUCCAGCUGGGUCACACCCGUUCCCAUCCCGAACACGGUCGUUAAGCCAGUCUGGGCCGAUGGUAGUCAGGUUUGGCGAGAGUAGGUCGCCGCCAGGA
Molecule: ribosomal RNA, 109 nt
Filed under: Candidatus Uhrbacteria bacterium
Lineage: Bacteria; Candidatus Uhriibacteriota
Source: RNAcentral